Molecule: non-coding RNA, 104 nt
Organism: Aromia moschata
Lineage: Eukaryota; Metazoa; Arthropoda; Insecta; Coleoptera; Cerambycidae
Source: the annotation of a GenBank genome assembly
GCCGCGGUGAUAGCUCAGUGGGUAAAGCGCCAGAGAGACGAACGAGAAGAUGGCGAUUUCUCCGAGAGCUAUUAUCUGCGCGGGUUCAAAUCCCGCCUGUGGCA